UUCAGUGCAAGUGCAUUUGCACUUAGUCAGAACAAAAAUCUUUGCAGAUGUAUCCAGGAACUGCAUUUGCCAGCAUGUCCCGCAUAACAUGAAGAAAGGCAUAAAAAAUUUCCCAUUGUGAUAAUCCUUUCUGUAACCAUUGGCUUAAUUGUGUUUUUCAUAACAUUGUUCUGCCUAUUUUGUUGGAGAAAGUCAAGAAAGAACCCCACGUCAGUAGAAUCAGUAACUUUCAUAGUAGGUGGCUUCCUUGAAUUUCAUACAAGGAUCUGUAACUAGCAACCAGAGAAUUCUCU
Molecule: long non-coding RNA, 293 nt
Filed under: Jatropha curcas
Lineage: Eukaryota; Viridiplantae; Streptophyta; Magnoliopsida; Malpighiales; Euphorbiaceae
Description: long non-coding RNA (JCUR_LNC000343)
Source: RNAcentral